This 427-nucleotide long non-coding RNA is filed under the name Phoenix dactylifera (date palm). RNAcentral's name for it is "long non-coding RNA (PDAC_LNC011292)". The record is from RNAcentral. Lineage: Eukaryota; Viridiplantae; Streptophyta; Magnoliopsida; Arecales; Arecaceae.
UUAAAUCAACUCUGAAGACAAGAAUCUGAUCAGCACUAUACUCCCAACAAUCCUUUGGCUUUAUGUUCUUAAGGAAUUGAAUAUUUCAGUUUCACUCCAUAUCUGAACCACGAAGCAUGACUCUACGCAACAUGGAGCAAGUAGCCUCCAAGAACUCUGGUGAAUAAGUUGGUUCACGUUCCUAAUGUGACCGCCCGCAAGAUUUUCAAAAGAUAUUAACAAGCCAAAGGUCCUACCAUAAAUGGAUUUUUCCCAUUCUCAAUUACAAAACCUAACAUCUGAAGAUAUUCUUUUGUGCUUGGAAAACGCUGUCACUGUAUCGAAUCAUAUCUUCAAUGUAACUUGACAUAAUUUCUCACUGCAACAGCUGCCGGGCAUUCUAUGUAAUUGUGCAAAGAUGUGAUAGAGAUAUAAUAGAGCAUACUGC